Molecule: ribosomal RNA, 523 nt
Filed under: uncultured bacterium
Lineage: Bacteria
Description: bacterial SSU rRNA
Rfam family: Bacterial small subunit ribosomal RNA
Source: RNAcentral
CCAUGCCGCGUGCAGGAAGACGGUCCUAUGGAUUGUAAACUGCUUUUGUACAGGAAGAAACACUGGUUCGUGAACCAGCUUGACGGUACUGUAAGAAUAAGGAUCGGCUAACUCCGUGCCAGCAGCCGCGGUAAUACGGAGGAUCCAAGCGUUAUCCGGAAUCAUUGGGUUUAAAGGGUCCGUAGGCGGCCUUAUAAGUCAGUGGUGAAAUCUUCUAGCUCAACUAGAAAAUGGCCAUUGAUACUGUAGGGCUUGAAUUAUUGUGAAGUAACUAGAAUAUGUAGUGUAGCGGUGAAAUGCUUAGAUAUUACAUGGAAUACCAAUUGCGAAGGCAGGUUACUAACAAUACAUUGACGCUGAUGGACGAAAGCGUGGGGAGCGAACAGGAUUAGAUACCCUGGUAGUCCACGCCGUAAACGAUGGAUACUAGCUGUUUGGAGUAAUCUGAGUGGCUAAGCGAAAGUGAUAAGUAUCCCACCUGGGGAGUACGAACGCAAGUUUGAAACUCAAAGGAAUUGACGGA